This 373-nucleotide ribosomal RNA is filed under the name uncultured bacterium. RNAcentral's name for it is "bacterial SSU rRNA". It matches the Rfam family "Bacterial small subunit ribosomal RNA", at positions 521 to 896 of the family's 1533-position model. The record is from RNAcentral.
UAAUACGGAGGGUGCAAGCGUUAUCCGGAUUUACUGGGUUUAAAGGGUGUGUAGGCGGGCUUUUAAGUCAGUGGUGAAAUCUCCGGGCUCAACCUGGAAACUGCCAUUGAUACUAUUAGUCUUGAAUUUUGUUGAGGUAGGCGGAAUAAGUCAUGUAGCGGUGAAAUGCAUAGAUAUGACUUAGAACACCAAUUGCGAAGGCAGCUUGCUAAACAAAUAUUGACGCUGAGGCACGAAAGCGUGGGGAUCAAACAGGAUUAGAUACCCUGGUAGUCCACGCCCUAAACGAUGAUUACUCGACAUACGCGAUACACAGUGUGUGUCUGAGCGAAAGCAUUAAGUAAUCCACCUGGGAAGUACGACCGCAAGGUUG